CUGCAGGUUUUUGCCUUCAUUGAAGAUAAAAGGACGAACCAUGAAACUUACAGAAUCAUAUGCAGGUGACCCACAUGGCUGACCCACAGAGGACUUGAUGAGGAAAUCUCAUGUUGAGGUAUCGCUCUACUCAUGAUCAUCUGUCUGGCAUCCUUGGGCUGUAUGGACUCAGACAUCUUCUCUUCCUAGUGUGACAAGGUUCAGCUGGCGAGCCACUCCAAGGAAGUGGUGUUGGGAGGAGUGUCCUGAUUCUUGGCUGUAAAGCAUCAACAUAAGAAUUGUUCUCUUGGACUGAUCUUAUUCUGCAGUAGAAACAGACCUGUGGGGGUUGGUUUAAGUGUGGGUGUGUAUACACUUCAUACAAUGAUUCUAAGAUGAUAAAGGCAAUAAAAC
Scatophagus argus is the source of this 393-nucleotide long non-coding RNA. RefSeq lists it as uncharacterized. The record is from RefSeq and is a predicted model, not a curated record. The transcript is spliced from 4 exons. NCBI's taxonomy places the organism in Eukaryota, Metazoa, Chordata, Actinopteri, Scatophagidae.